UAGGGAAUUUUCGGCAAUGGGCGCAAGCCUGACCGAGCAACGCCGCGUGAGGGAAGAAGGUCUUCGGAUCGUAAACCUUUGUCUUUGGGGACGAUAAUGACGGUACCCAAGGAGGAAGCCACGGCUAACUACGUGCCAGCAGCCGCGGUAAUACGUAGGUGGCAAGCGUUGUCCGGAAUUACUGGGCGUAAAGGGCGUGUAGGCGGUAAAUUAAGUCAGACGUGAAAACUCAGGGCUUAACCUUGAGACUGCGUUUGAAACUGAUAGACUAGAGGAUCGGAGAGGGCAGUGGAAUUCCCAGUGUAGCGGUGAAAUGCGUAGAUAUUGGGAGGAACACCAGUGGCGAAGGCGACUGCCUGGACGACACCUGACGCUGAGGCGCGAAAGCCAGGGGAGCAAACGGGAUUAGAUACCCCGGUAGUCCUGGCCGUAAACGAUGGGUACUAGGUGUGGGAGGUAUCGACCCCUUCCGUGCCGGAGCAAACGCAAUAAGUACCCCGCCUGGGGAGUACGGCCGCAAGGUUGAAAC
RNAcentral lists this ribosomal RNA (529 nucleotides) under uncultured Bacillota bacterium. RNAcentral describes it as "bacterial SSU rRNA". It matches the Rfam family "Bacterial small subunit ribosomal RNA", at positions 355 to 900 of the family's 1533-position model. The record is from RNAcentral. Lineage: Bacteria; Bacillati; Bacillota.